CAAGGAAUAGUUUAAGUAGAAUUUCACCUUUGGGUGUUGAUGGUGGACCUAGAGCUUCUUCCUUGAU
This 67-nucleotide transfer RNA is filed under the name Equus caballus (horse). RNAcentral's name for it is "transfer RNA-Pro". The record is from RNAcentral. Lineage: Eukaryota; Metazoa; Chordata; Mammalia; Perissodactyla; Equidae.